GAUGAACGCUGGCGGCGUGCCUAAUACAUGCAAGUCGAGCGAACGGACGAGAAGCUUGCUUCUCUGAUGUUAGCGGCGGACGGGUGAGUAACACGUGGAUAACCUACCUAUAAGACUGGGAUAACUUCGGGAAACCGGAGCUAAUACCGGACAAUAUUUUGAACCGCAUGGUUCAAAAGUGAAAGACGGUCUUGCUGUCACUUAUAGAUGGAUCCGCGCUGCAUUAGCUAGUUGGUAAGGUAACGGCUUACCAAGGCAACGAUGCAUAGCCGACCUGAGAGGGUGAUCGGCCACACUGGAACUGAGACACGGUCCAGACUCCUACGGGAGGCAGCAGUAGGGAAUCUUCCGCAAUGGGCGAAAGCCUGACGGAGCAACGCCGCGUGAGUGAUGAAGGUCUUCGGAUCGUAAAACUCUGUUAGUAGGGAAGAACAUAUGUGUAAGUAACUGUGCACAUCUUGACGGUACCUAAUCAGAAAGCCACGGCUAACUACGUG
RNAcentral lists this ribosomal RNA (497 nucleotides) under uncultured bacterium. RNAcentral describes it as "partial 16S ribosomal RNA". It matches the Rfam family "Bacterial small subunit ribosomal RNA", at positions 28 to 507 of the family's 1533-position model. The record is from RNAcentral.